Molecule: ribosomal RNA, 459 nt
Filed under: uncultured bacterium
Lineage: Bacteria
Description: partial 16S ribosomal RNA
Rfam family: Bacterial small subunit ribosomal RNA
Source: RNAcentral
CCUACGGGUGGCUGCAGUGAGGAAUAUUGGUCAAUGGGCACGAGCCUGAACCAGCCAAGUAGCGUGAAGGAUGACUGCCCUACGGGUUGUAAACUUCUUUUAUAAAGGAAUAAAGUGAGGCACGUGUGCCUUUUGUAUGUACUUUAUGAGUAAGGAUCGGCUAACUCCGUGCCAGCAGCCGCGGUAAUACGGAGGAUCCGAGCGUUAUCCGGAUUUAUUGGGUUUAAAGGGAGCGUAGAUGGGUUGUUAAGUAAGUUGUGAAAGUUUGCGGAUCAACCGUAAAAUUGCAAUUGAUACUGGCAGCCUUGAGUACAGUUGAGGUAGGCGGAAUUCGUGGUGUAGCGGUGAAAUUCUUAGAUAUCACGAAGAACUCCGAUUGCGAAGGCAGCUUACUAAACUGCCACUGACAUUGAUGCUCGAAAGUGUGGGUAUCAAACAGGAUUAGAUACCCCUGUAGUC